This 253-nucleotide ribosomal RNA is filed under the name uncultured bacterium. RNAcentral describes it as "partial 16S ribosomal RNA". It matches the Rfam family "Bacterial small subunit ribosomal RNA", at positions 524 to 776 of the family's 1533-position model. The record is from RNAcentral.
UACAGAGGGUGCAAGCGUUGUUCGGAAUUAUUGGGCGUAAAGCGCGUGUAGGCGGCUCCGCAAGUUGGGUGUGAAAUCCCUCGGCUUAACCGAGGAAGUGCGCUCAAAACUACAGAGCUUGAGUACCGGAGAGGGUGGUGGAAUUCCCGGUGUAGAGGUGAAAUUCGUAGAGGUCCGGAAGAACACCGGUGGCGAAGGCGGCCUGCUGGGCAGUAGCUGACGCUGAGGAGCGAAAGCAUGGGGAGCGAACAGG